CAGACAUGCUCCGUGCGUUCAGCCGAAAGGUGUACUCGUACGGUUGCAGGCUAGAGUCUGUUCUUGGGGUCGGAUAAGGGUCUUGGGAAUGUGGCCGGUUCGCCGGUGUUAAGCCCUGGACUUGAUACGGCUCUGGGGACAGAGGACCGCAGCGCGCCUUCUUGGCAUUGGCUUCGGCCUUUUCCGCGCUAAGGAUUCUGGCUUAAUGGCUUUAAGCGACCCGUCUUGAAACACGGACCAAGGAGUCUAACAUAUAUGCGAGUGUUUCGAG
This 271-nucleotide ribosomal RNA is filed under the name Diversispora epigaea. The record is from RNAcentral. Lineage: Eukaryota; Fungi; Glomeromycota; Glomeromycetes; Diversisporales; Diversisporaceae.